UACGAAGGGGGCUAGCGUUGCUCGGAAUCACUGGGCGUAAAGGGUGCGUAGGCGGGUCUUUAAGUCAGGGGUGAAAUCCUGGAGCUCAACUCCAGAACUGCCUUUGAUACUGAGGAUCUUGAGUUCGGGAGAGGUGAGUGGAACUGCGAGUGUAGAGGUGAAAUUCGUAGAUAUUGCAAGAACACCAGUGGCGAAGGCGGCUCACUGGCCCGAUACUGACGCUGAGGCACGAAAGCGUGGGGAAGCAAACAGGGAUUAAGAUACCCU
This 267-nucleotide ribosomal RNA is filed under the name uncultured bacterium. RNAcentral's name for it is "partial 16S ribosomal RNA". It matches the Rfam family "Bacterial small subunit ribosomal RNA", at positions 524 to 788 of the family's 1533-position model. The record is from RNAcentral.